ACGAAGGGGGCUAGCGUUGCUCGGAAUGACUGGGCGUAAAGGGCGCGUAGGCGGAUAACAUAGUCAGACGUGAAAGUCCUGGGCUCAACCUGGGAACUGCGUUUGAUACGUGUAAUCUAGAGUGAGGAAGAGGGUUGUGGAAUUUCCAGUGUAGAGGUGAAAUUCGUAGAUAUUGGAAAGAACACCGGUGGCGAAGGCGGCAACCUGGUCCUUGACUGACGCUGAGGCGCGAAAGCGUGGGGAGCAAACAGGAUUAGAUACCCUGGUAGUCCACGCUGUAAACGAUGUGUGCUGGAUGUUGGGGCGCUUAGCGCUUCAGUGUCGUAGCUAACGCGGUAAGCACACCGCCUGGGGAGUACGGCCGCAAGGUUG
RNAcentral lists this ribosomal RNA (372 nucleotides) under uncultured bacterium. RNAcentral's name for it is "bacterial SSU rRNA". It matches the Rfam family "Bacterial small subunit ribosomal RNA", at positions 525 to 896 of the family's 1533-position model. The record is from RNAcentral.